This 253-nucleotide ribosomal RNA is filed under the name uncultured prokaryote. RNAcentral's name for it is "partial 16S ribosomal RNA". It matches the Rfam family "Bacterial small subunit ribosomal RNA", at positions 524 to 776 of the family's 1533-position model. The record is from RNAcentral.
UACGUAGGUGGCAAGCGAUACUCGGAAUCACUAGGCGUAAAGCGCAGGUAGGCGGUUCAGUAAGUCUUUUGUGAAAGCUCCCGGCUCAACUGGGAGAGGCCAAGGGAAACUACUGGACUAGAGUGUGGUAGGGGAUACUGGAAUUCCUGGUGUAGCGGUGAAAUGCGUAGAUAUCAGGAGGAAUACCUAUGGCGAAAGCAGGUAUCUGGGCCGUACCUGACGCUAAAACGCGACAGCAUAGGGAGCGAACGGG